RNAcentral lists this ribosomal RNA (406 nucleotides) under uncultured bacterium. RNAcentral describes it as "partial 16S ribosomal RNA". It matches the Rfam family "Bacterial small subunit ribosomal RNA", at positions 30 to 526 of the family's 1533-position model. The record is from RNAcentral.
AUUGAACGCUGGCGGCAGGCCUAACACAUGCAAGUCGAGCGUGCGGCGGACGGGUGAGUAAUGUCUGGGAACCUGCCUGAUGGAGAGGGAUAACUACUGGAAACGGUAGCUAAUCACGCAUUCCAUCAGCUGUGCCUCGAGGGGAUUAGCGAGUAGGUGGGGUAACGGCUCACCUAGGCGACGAUCCCUAGCUGGUCUGAGAGGAUGACCAGCCACACUGGAACUGAGACACGGUACAGACUCCUACGGGAGGCAGCAGUGGGGAAUAUUGCACAAUGGGCGAAAGCCUGAUGCAGCCAUGCCGCGUGUGUGAAGAAGGCCUUCGGGUUGUAAAGCACUUUCAGCGGGGAGGCGUUACCCACAGAAGAAGCACCGGCUAACUCCGUGCCAGCAGCCGCGGUAAUAC